GCCCUUGUGGUGAAAUGGAUAUCAUCACGGUCUUCGGAACCGCUGUUGCAGGUUCGAAUCCUGCCAAGGGCACAA
This 75-nucleotide transfer RNA is filed under the name bacterium. Its description in RNAcentral is "tRNA-Arg". It matches the Rfam family "tRNA". Rfam says of the family: Transfer RNA (tRNA) molecules are approximately 80 nucleotides in length. Their secondary structure includes four short double-helical elements and three loops (D, anti-codon, and T loops). The record is from RNAcentral.